This 66-nucleotide transfer RNA is filed under the name Mahasena oolona. Its description in RNAcentral is "tRNA-His". The record is from RNAcentral. Lineage: Eukaryota; Metazoa; Arthropoda; Insecta; Lepidoptera; Psychidae.
AUUUAAAUAAUUUAAUAAAAAAUAUUGAUUUGUGGUAUCAAAAAUAUGAUGAUUUCAUUUUAAAUU